CUUGGGCCGCUCCCAUGGCAUAUGGAGGUUCCCAGGCUAGGGGUCUAAUCGGAGCUGUGGCCGCCAGCCUACACCAGAGCCACAGCAACGCGGGAUCCGAGCCGCGUCUGCAACCUACACCACAGCUCACGGCAACGCCGGAUCGUUAACCCGCUGAGCAAGGGCAGGGACCGAACCCGCAACCUCAUGGUUCCUAGUCGGAUUCGUUAACCACUGCGCCACGACGGGAACUCCCCUGACUCCCUUUCUUCUUGCUCUGCGCUGGGGACUUGGAACAGAGCCGGGGUGAAAGAGUCAUGAGCCCGCGUGCCAGUGUGUGGAUAGGGAAGAUCUCAGGGCUCUUGCUGUUACCCAGAGACAUCUUUGGCUCUGGAUGCAAAGGGUCACUGCUGGGGGGUUGCCUGAGGAAGCUGUUAUAAAAGCUUCUUCCAUACUCGCUUCCUAUUAGCUACAUCCUUGCCAUUUCCAUGGCAACUAGGAAGCAUCUUGGGUUUCAGUGAACUAUUGCUUUAGGGGAUAUGGGGGGACAGCUGGACGGAACAGGUAGAGGUUGAGAUGUUUAAAUCUACCCAUUUUAUCCUUUCCCCAGGCUCUCACAGGGCUGUCCUCCAAAGCAGGUGCAGGAAUGUAAGGAUCAUUAUUCACUUCGUAGCCUUGAGGCCACAGAGGCCCAUCCUCAGAGUCACAAACACCUGAGCUAGAAACAUUCUGUGGCUCAGCUUCCUCUUGUGACCUAGUCUUUCCCUUCAGCUCCUCUCCUCUCUGCCCAUCUUUCUUCUUUCUCCUUCUCUUCCUUUAGCUUCUUCCUCAAGUCUCUGGCGGAGACCAAGCCUCGUGCCAGAGUCAGGGGGAAGGCAUCGCCGGGCGAUGUGGAGGGAGGGAAACGAAGUACAGAGGUUAAGAGCAAAGUCUGCUUUCUAGCCACGUGACCUUGAACUUCAGCUUCUUCCUCAGUAAAAUAGAGAUAAUUCUUCCUUCUUAGGAAUGUCGUGAAAAUUAUGUGGCUUAAUGUACACGUGGCACUCAAACAGUGCCUGUCACACAGAUGGGCCCCGGUAAGUAGAGUGACCCACACACUUCUGGGUCUAGGACAGUCUCAUUUUAAGCCCACUCUGCCAGCAUUGCUAUUAACAGCGCCCUUUUCCCAUUUCGAAAGUAUCCAGGGUUUGGAUGCUAAAUGGGGUUCCUCUGCCUAUAGCCCCAGCUAUUUUGCCACGGAGCAGUGACCCCUAAUUUUGAGGAUGUAUAGGAUUGGAUGCCACAGGCUAGGAAGUAAGGCAGGUAAGUGCCUCCACAAUUAGCCAAUUCAUGUUAAUCCAUUUUAUCUAUGGAGAUUAAAAAAAAAACUGUAACAUGGCUGUUUCGCUGUUCUGCACCCCCUCCCACCUCUAUGGUAAAAGAUGCAAAGGACCAAUAAGGAUGCAUUCCCUCGGGGUCCCACCGGGGAUGCUCCUUCAGAAAGCAAGUUUUGAAAGCCCAACCCUGAGAGCUGCUUUCUGCUCCUUCUCUGGACAGGUAACUGAGGUCAGGGUGCCAGGAUCACCAAGGGCAGCCAGCAAGGCUGUGAAUUCCUUAGAGACAUGAAAUACGCAAAUGCUAUUGGGAAAAUGGAGCCAACAGACCUGCUUGACAUGGGGAUGGAACAAAUCUUUCUGUAAAAAAUGCAAUUAUCUGCAAAGCGCAAUAAAGCAAAGGGCGAGAAAACAAAGUAUGCCUAUACAAAGAAAGAUAGGUAGAGAGAUAGGUAAGACAGACAGACAGACAAUGAUCUGAAGUACACAAGGACCUCAGGGCCAGGGUUUCAAGUCCUUGUUACAUUUGGCUAAUAUUCACAGUAUUUCAAACUCUCCACCAACAAAAAAAAAGAGUAUGAUUUGUUGAUGGCACCCAUGACGGUUAGCAUUUUUUUAGCAAUAAAAUACUUUUAAUUAAGGUAUGCACUUUUUUGUCUUUGAGACAUCAUGCUAUUGCAAACUUUUUUCAAUUUUACUUUCAAUUUUUUUUAAAUUGCUGUUUCCCCAAUAUAUUUUUUUUUCCUACUGUACAGCAAGGUGACCCAGUUACACAGACAAGGACACGUUCUUUUUUCUCCCAUGCUCAUGCUCCAUCAUAAGUGACUAGACAGAGUUCCCAGGGCUACACAGCAAGUAUUGAAAACUUCAUAGACUGUAGAAUAGUGCAAACUUUUAUACGCACCGGCAAACCAAAAAAAUUUGCAUGAUCCAACUUUAGUGCUUAAUUUGCUUUAUUGCAGUAGUCUGGAACGGAACCCCAAAUAUCUCUGAGGAAUACAUGUCUCUAUUUAUCCAUCUGAAACCAAGCAGGCCCCUGUGGGCUCCUGGGCACACAAGCCUUUCUGGGUCCCCCCUUUCUUGUUUGGGGGAAUAAACUUCAGCCUCCAUGACCUUCCCUGAGUUCCCCAAGGACCAGUUCAAACAGUUGCUGAUCAGGGAAGGGAGGGGAGGCAGAGACCUGAGAAGAGCAAUUAAGAAACAAUAGUGCAGCUUUGGGGCAGGGUCCUGGUCCCUCCUCAAGGAAUAUGCAUAACAAUAUCUUUGAGUUCUUCCCCCGAACUAGAACCCCCAACCAAUGGAAGAUGUUAAUGAAGCCUUCUUUAUUCUGGAAAGAAGACCAUUGGACCCCUGAGCCCCAACUUUGAAAACAAUGCAAGCUUGCCUCUGCCCUGAUCCUUAUCUGCAGGCCUAUUUUUCACUCCCCAAACUCUAAAACCACCUCCAAAAUCUCUAAUGAGGGUGCAGUCUUUAAGGCAUUAACCUGCCGUGACCCUCCUUUGGCAAAGCCGUAAAGCUAUUUUUUUCUCCCUCUGCAAAAACUCUGUCCCCCCGUGUUUCUAUGAGGGACCAGUGAGCAGAAGCGGGAGUUCUGGCAACACAUCUAUCCAUCUCUCUCCCUAUGUUAA
Molecule: long non-coding RNA, 2920 nt
Filed under: Sus scrofa (pig)
Lineage: Eukaryota; Metazoa; Chordata; Mammalia; Artiodactyla; Suidae
Description: lncRNA (ENSSSCG00000062293.1)
Source: RNAcentral